This 331-nucleotide unclassified non-coding RNA is filed under the name soil metagenome. RNAcentral's name for it is "partial contains 5.8S ribosomal RNA, internal transcribed spacer 2, and large subunit ribosomal RNA". The stretch from base 1 to 120 matches the Rfam family "5.8S ribosomal RNA", at positions 35 to 154 of the family's 154-position model. The record is from RNAcentral.
GAUGAAGAACGCAGCGAAAUGCGAUACGUAAUGUGAAUUGCAGAUUUCAGUGAAUCAUCGAAUCUUUGAACGCACAUUGCGCCCGCCAGUAUUCUGGCGGGCAUGCCUGUUCGAGCGUCAUUUCAACCAUCAAGCGCCUCGCUUGUGUUGGGGCCCUGCGGCUGCCGCAGACCCCUAAAUCCAGUGGCGGGCUCGUCGUCGUACCGAGUGCAGUAAACAUCCUCGCUCAGGGAACCCGACGGGUGCCGGCCGUGAAACCCCCCCUCCUCAAGGUUGACCUCGGAUCAGGUAGGAAUACCCGCUGAACUUAAGCAUAUCAAUAAGCGGAGGA